RNAcentral lists this unclassified non-coding RNA (619 nucleotides) under Anthoxanthum ovatum. RNAcentral describes it as "partial external transcribed spacer". The record is from RNAcentral. Lineage: Eukaryota; Viridiplantae; Streptophyta; Magnoliopsida; Poales; Poaceae.
GACAAGCAUAUGACUACUGGCAGGAUCAACCAGGUAGCACGUCCUCUUAGACUUCCAACACCGGUAGUCACCCACCCACCACCACUUGUGUGGCAAUGCGGAGGCAACAAUCGGGCCGGUUGUCGCUGUUGAGCGGGCCGAGCUCGUCCGUCUUAUUUGGGGAUCGGAAUCGAGUAUGCUGCGUAAUCCUUGCCACUUGCUGUGGAAAGGUAGAGGCAACAUUCGUUCAACGAUGUUCUCAAAGUCGGAGAGCAUUCUUAGGGUCUUGCUCGUCCGACUUAUUUGGGGAUCGGACUCGAGUCUGCUGCAUAAUCCUUCCACUUGUUGUGGAAAGGUAGAGGCAACAUUCGUUCAACGAUGUUCUCAAAGUCGGAGAGCGUUCUUAGGGUCAAGCCCCGAGGCAACCAAAUGGGCCACGAGGAUAUAUAUCAUGAGCGACAUCCAAAACCAUUAACGAGAGCGAGGCUGCCUUGAUAGCACCAGGCACGAGAACCAGCACCACGAGGCAACGCCACAAUCGCCAUAUGGCCGCAGCAACACACCCAAAGGCGUCCACCACGAGGCAACUAUGUAUGAAGCACCAAUACCCAUAGGUCAGGUAACAUCACGCAAGCACUUG